RNAcentral lists this small RNA (102 nucleotides) under unclassified sequences. Its description in RNAcentral is "Fibrobacter-1 RNA". It matches the Rfam family "Fibrobacter-1 RNA". From Rfam's summary of the family: Fibrobacter (Fibrobacteres). BLAST against metagenomes (Fibrobacteres) The record is from Rfam by way of RNAcentral.
UAUUUAGGUUCCCUAGGUCGCGUGGGGCGGAAUUGCGGUACUUUCCGUAAGGAACCCCCCGAGGCUCGGAAGCGCUCCAUACUUUUGGAGGGCUUUUUAGGG